RNAcentral lists this ribosomal RNA (487 nucleotides) under uncultured bacterium. RNAcentral's name for it is "bacterial SSU rRNA". It matches the Rfam family "Bacterial small subunit ribosomal RNA", at positions 28 to 507 of the family's 1533-position model. The record is from RNAcentral.
GAUGAACGCUAGCGGCAGGCUUAACACGUGCAAGUCGAGGGGUAACAUAGAAAAGCUUGCUUUUCUGAUGACGACCGGCGCACGGGUGCGUAACGCGUAUACAACCUACCUUUUAGCGGGGAAUAGCCCAGGGAAACUUGGAUUAAUGCCCCAUAGUAUAUAGACUUCUCCUGAAGUUUAUAUUAAACAUUUAUGGCUAUUAGAUGGGUAUGCGUCCUAUUAGUUAGUUGGUAAGGUAACGGCUUACCAAGGCAGCGAUAGGUAGGGGUCCUGAGAGGGAGAUCCCCACACUGGUACUGAGACACGGACCAGACUCCUACGGGAGGCAGCAGUGAGGAAUAUUGGACAAUGGGCGAGAGCCUGAUCCAGCCAUGCCGCGUGCAGGAAGACUGCCCUAUGGGUUGUAAACUGCUUUUACAGAGGAAGAACCACCCCCACGUGUGGGGGUUUGACGGUACUCUGCGAAUAAGGAUCGGCUAACUCCGUG